GUGGGAUGCAGCGCCUACAUCCCCAGUGCAUAGGGAUGCACACAGUGGCCUCGCUGGGUGACAGUUCUUUGGGUGACAGUUCUUUUUGGUUCAGCAGGGCUGUGGCUGCAGGGGUCUCUUGAGGGUGCUCCAUGUGCUCACAAGGCAUCCAUGGCCUUGGCAGCCACACCUCCACCACACUGGAGGUACCCAAGGAGACUCAUGUGGCUUGUUUGUUUUGCAGGGCUGGGAUGGAGCCACCACAGGCCCCUCGGCCACCUCAGCCCACCCACCCCCUCACUGCUGCUGCUGGACCAGCCCAUCACAUGGACAGAUACCCAAAGGCCAUUGGAGUCACCUCAGCUCUAGCAUCUGCAUCCCCCCAGCUUUGGAGCAGGGUGGGCUGCCGUCCUCUGAGGCCGUGUGACAGGGAACUGGCA
Molecule: long non-coding RNA, 419 nt
Filed under: Serinus canaria (Common canary)
Lineage: Eukaryota; Metazoa; Chordata; Aves; Passeriformes; Fringillidae
Description: lncRNA (ENSSCAG00000010585.1)
Source: RNAcentral